UUAAUAUUUUUUCAUAUAUCUCUUAUCAUAAAUUUUAAUUCAAUAAUGAAUUAAUUCAUCAUUCCACAUGUUUGGACUUCAAACAUUUGCAAUUGUUGAUAGAAUUGCUAAAGAAAUCCAAAUAAUUUUCAUCAAUUUAUGUGCCAUUUGAUACAGAAAUGUUGUAGCUAGAAUCUAAAUACAAAGAAAGGCUUUAUGUCAAGUGAUAGAUUAUCUUGGGUGCUGUUGUCUCCAGAUGGAACAACUAAUCGCAAGGUCAUUGUUUCUUUCUAACUUGGUGCAUUCAUUCCUGUUUGUGCAACAUAACCGGCGAUUGUUCGCUAUUCUUGUGUUCAAUUUGAUCAAUUGUGGUAAAUUCCUAAUGGCUUAGCACCUUCAAUCUUUCCCCUCAACUUUCCUGGUAAUUCCCUCCAAUGUUCUCCACAUUCUUUUGUUUGCUUUGGACAUUUAUUGGAAUUUGCAUUCUAAUUCAUAACUUGAAAUUAGAGCCAAAUUGCAGUAUUUUGAUUCUGUCUUUAAUGGGGUACAUAUGUUUUUUGUUGGUUUUAUAGGGUUUUGUGCAUAUAGAGAAUGUGGAUUGGACAUGAUUUUGGGCAUUAUUAGGUCAUUAUAAGGCAUGCAGUUCAGUGAUAUUACAGUAGAAUUAGAUGAUACCGUUAAUGUUUGUAAUUUACUCACAUGUGUUCUGCACCGUUCUGGUAUUUAAUAUCAUUGAUUUUUACAGAUUCAAAAAGAUUGAUCUCUGAUAACUAUUCAAUAGUGCAUUUUUACAGAUUCCCAAAGAGAACAAUUGUAAAAAGAAAAAAAAGCUACCAUACUUUUUUUUUUCACAACUAAUAACCAUAUGGACUUUCUUGAAAAUCCAAAAGAAAAGAUAACCCACAGCAAAGCACAUGUCAUACCUAGUUCAUCAUUAACUUAUGUUUUCCGUUUUAAGUGAAUCUGUCUGGUUUUAUCUAGUUUUGGUUCAACAAUGGCAUUAUGAAAGAUGGCCAUGUCAUAGAAAUCCCAGAAGAUGGCCAUGUCAUAGAAAUCCCAGUAGAUGAAGUGCACCAAUAGAAACCAUUGUGUACCACAAACAUGGUCACAACAAUUUCAGAACCACCCACUGGCAGAUUCUGCAAUUAUCUAAACUAUUGCCUGCUUCUCAAGAUGUGGAAAAGAGGGAGAGGGAUUGAGUGAGGAGAAGGGGAAAAAAUAUUUAUAUUAAUAUCAGCAAUAAAAUUUUAUUGUUUUUCAUUUAAGUUUGACCCAAACAGACUAAAUUGUUAUUAUUUUCUUGAAUCUGGCUGAAACUUGACAAAAUUAAAAGGGUUGGACCUGUACAAAUUUGAGGAAGGAUUUGGAUUGUCUUCUUCGUUUGGCCCUGUAAAAUGUAAGGUUCAUUUGCUCUUUUGCGAUAUCUGCCCGUGGUAAUCCAUAUAUCCUUUUUGUAUGUAUGAAUUAUGUUAAAAACGUUACCUUUUGGAUGUACCAUGACAUGUAUGCUCAUUUGAAGUUCUGUUAUUUGUAUAAUAGGCAAUUGGGCAUGAGGAAGGCGAAUAAAUGCUUAUUUUGUAUUGAUGCUUUGUAUGUCUGUUAAAAUCUCUGAGUUAAAGUUUGCUUUUAAAAAUAUUUGUUUCUGCUCUUUGAAUUUGCUUGCUUAAUUUUAUAGUAAAUGGAGCUUGGAAUGUGUAGAUGUAAUUUUAUAUGCAAGAACUCUUAACUCGAACUAGGUUUUCGAAAAGAAAAGAUGAGUGCAAACUAGAGAAAGGAUUUUGGUAUAAGCACCCAAUUUAAAUAAAUUUGGUAAUUGGGUUUAGUUUAGUAAAGAAAAUAUCCUUGUUCUUAGUAGCUAAUAUUUGCCUUAACGUUUGUUUGCCUCAUCUUUAGAGCUUCAAGUGUCUUCCUCUCUAUUUAAAGAAACAGCAUAGCAUCUUCUAGUGAUGCAUACAAUCUUCUACAGUUUUCGAAACUUGCAAUUUUGUUCUUGUCUAUGCUGUGCUGUGAUGUAUAAUAUGCAGAAUAAGGGGUUGAUUUUGCUAUUUGUCUCUCAAUUUUAGGAAUUUUCAUGUCAGUUUUUCUCAAUUUUCAUUUUGGUUGAAACUCAACUCUUUACCUCCUUAAAUUUGGUCUCAAAUUUCUCAAAAUGAAUCUCUUUUUCCUUUCCAAAUCAAAUAAAGGUUUUUUUUUAAAAUAAUUUGGAGUUUUUUAAAAAAUAAAUUUAUUUAAUAGCAAUAAAUUAAUGUUGAGAGAUUGAGAUGAGACUAUGUCUAAAAUUGAGGUAUGACAAAUAUAAUUAACCCGCAUCUAGGCCUGUUAAGAAUUUGGUUUAAACCAACCAGGCAGAUCGAAUCGAACCAACCCGAUUUGAUUUUUGAGUUGAUUUACUGAUUUGGUCAGGUUGGCAUAUUUUACUUGAAGAUGUUUAUUUUGUGUCGGUCAGUUGAUGAAAUUAUCCAUCUUUACUUGGAAAACGUCUUCUUAUGCCCUCAUCUUUAUCUUCUCAAAAUCGCCUAUAAUCUGUCCCACUCCCACACCACGCUGCUGCUGCUCUAGUGCCGAGGAAUAUUUUGGCAUGGGAUGGAUCUUCUAGGUUGUAUUAUUGGGGAUUCUAACUGUCUGCAUUGCAUUUCUAUUUGGCUUGAAAGACCUGGAUGCUAGGUUCGAAAGGAGCAGAGGAUUUCUGAUUUUGCGCUCAAAUCUCCGUUCAAGAAUGUCUCUCUUCAAAAUCUGGCUAUCUGUAGUUGUCAGUCUCAGUAUUUGUAUGAAGCCCACAAGCUGUUCGAUGAAAUUCUUGCUGGAGACAUUCACGCCUGGCCUAUUUUGAUAUUGGGUUUUGGAUUAUUUGGACUGUUUACUCUGUUUAUUGAGUUUUUCAGUUUGCAUGGUAUCAAUAUUGAGUUUUUGAUAACUUCUUGUUUCUUCAAUUGGGUUUUGCAAGAAACCAUAGGUUGUGGGUGGAAACAAAUGCCUGUUAAUUGAAGUCAUUGAUGAGGACGGACUCCCUUCCAUUUGGACCCAGUAGAAUUCAAUCUCUCUGAAGGCAGCAUUAUGGCUAUAAAUUUAGGUAAGAAUAGUGAGUUGUUAUUCUGAUUGAUUUGGAUGAGAUGAUAUUUAGUAUGUAUUUAAGGGAUAAAGGUUUUAUGAUAAGAUUUCCAAAUUGAUAUAAUUUUAUGCGAGUAUGAUUUAUGGAGGUUAUCCAAAACUGGCAUUACAUGAAGGGCAGCUGUUUUCAUCAAUGGAUGAUUGCAUUUUUGUGUUUUGUGGUCUUGAGUGGGUUUUGACAUCUAGGCUUAGAAUUAUGGAGGUUCAAUUUGUGAUUUUUCAAUCGGUGGGGAUAGACUCUUUGCACUUCAUAGCGAGGAAAAUGUCUUUAAUAUAUGGGAAAGUCCACCUCCACCAAUUUUAUGAUUCAGAUUAUAAGGUGUGCUAGGUUUUUCAGUUAAUGUUUCUUUCAUUUUGAUAUGAAUAAUUUCUUUCCCUUGUAGAAGAUAAAGGAUGAAUUCUGGUUAAACUUUUUAGGGUUUAUUUAACAAGAAUCAUGCAUACUUUUAGAAAUCAAAUUAUUUAGUUUACUCUUUAGUUUAUUCUUGAAGAAAUUUGCAGUACCUGUUUUAAUGAUAUGUAUUUAGU
RNA transcript from Hevea brasiliensis (rubber tree), 3615 nucleotides. RefSeq lists it as uncharacterized. NCBI's taxonomy places the organism in Eukaryota, Viridiplantae, Streptophyta, Magnoliopsida, Malpighiales, Euphorbiaceae. The transcript is spliced from 2 exons. The record is from RefSeq and is a predicted model, not a curated record.